This 1206-nucleotide ribosomal RNA is filed under the name Triticum aestivum (bread wheat). Its description in RNAcentral is "partial small subunit ribosomal RNA". The record is from RNAcentral. Lineage: Eukaryota; Viridiplantae; Streptophyta; Magnoliopsida; Poales; Poaceae.
AUGGGCAGCAGCAACACCCUGUCGUCGGUGCGCGAGAUACGGCGCUCACAGCGUGCGGAUGGGCCUGCAGCCGUUCUCGCCAUCGGCACGGCGAACCCGGCCAACUGCGUGUCCCAGGAGGAGUACCCGGACUACUACUUCCGAGUCACCAAGAGCCAACACCUCACUGACCUCAAAAAACAACUCAAGACCUUCUGCGAGAUGACAUCAACGGAGAAGCGCUACUUCCACCACACGGAGGAGCUGCUGGACGCCCACCCUGAAUUCCUCUGCCACGACAAGCCGUCCCUGGACACGCGGCUAUCCAUCGCCGCUGCUGCCGCACCGGAGCUGGCGGCGUCAGCUGCAGCCAAGGCCAUAGCCGAGUGGGGCCGUCCAGCCACCGACAUCACCCACCUCAUCGUCAGCACCAACUCCGGCGCGCACGCCCCGGGCGUCGACCUCCGGCUGGCCUCUCUCCUCGGCCUCCGCGCGUCCGUAUGCCGGACGAUGCUCAACCUCAACGGUUGUUCCACCGGUGCCGCCUCCCUGCGCCUCGCCAAGGACCUGGCCGAGAAUAACCGCGGGGCGCGCGUGCUUGUGGCCUGCGUCGAGCUCACGGUCAUCAACUUCCGCGGCCCCGAGGAGGCGUACCCACACAAGCUCAUCAGCCAGGCAGCCUUCGGCGAUGGCGCCGGCGCGGUCAUCGUCGGCGCUGACGCCGUGCACCCCGUGGAGCACACGCUCUUCGAGAUGGUAUCGGCCUCGCAGACCACGAUACCAGCAACCGACGGCGUGCUCAACAUGCAGCUCACCGAAGCCGGCCUCGACGGCCACAUCUUCACCAGGGAGCUCAUUCCUCUAGCGGCACAGCACAUCGAGCAGUGUCUCAUGGAUGCUUUCCAGCCGUUUGGAAUCAUGAGCGAUGGCACCAAAUGGAACGAUAUGUUCUUUGUGGUGCACCCUGGCAUCCGUGGAAUAAUAGAUCACAUCGACGGGGCUCUCCGGCUGGAUCCCGGGAAGCUGGCCGCGAGCCGGACUGUGCUGAGAGACUACGGGAACAUGCUUGGUGCCACGUUGAUCUUCGUGCUCGACGAGCAACGGAUGCGGAUGGAGGAGGACGGAGAGCGGGGUGAGUGGGGUGUGAUGAUGGGAUUUGGACCGGGGUUUACAGUUGAGACCAUGGUGCUGCAUGCAGUGGCCAGCAACCUGCACAGCAAAAAUUGA